This 456-nucleotide ribosomal RNA is filed under the name uncultured bacterium. RNAcentral's name for it is "bacterial SSU rRNA". It matches the Rfam family "Bacterial small subunit ribosomal RNA", at positions 1 to 507 of the family's 1533-position model. The record is from RNAcentral.
CACGAGUUUGAUCCUGGCUCAGAACGAACGCUGGCGGCAUGCCUAACACAUGCAAGUCGAACGAGACCUUCGGGUCUAGUGGCGCACGGGUGCGUAACACGUGGGAAUUUGCCUCGGGGUAUGGAAUAACUCAGGGAAACUUGAGCUAAUACCAUAUAAUGUCUUCGGACCAAAGAUUUAUCGCCCUGAGAUAAGCCCGCGUAGGAUUAGCUAGUUGGUGGGGUAAAGGCUCACCAAGGCGACGAUCCUUAGCUGGUCUGAGAGGAUGAUCAGCCACACUGGGACUGAGACACGGCCCAGACUCCUACGGGAGGCAGCAGUGGGGGAAUAUUGGACAAUGGGCGAAAGCCUGAUCCAGCAAUGCCGCGUGAGUGAUGAAGGCCUUCGGGUUGUAAAGCUCUUUUACUCGGGACGAUAAUGACGGUACCGAGAGAAUAAGCCCCGGCUAACUCCGUG